AAAGCCAGCCGCCAUGUCAGCAGAAUACUCCAACAGCCCUGUGGAGAACUGAGGCCUCCCUCCAACAGCCAGCACCAACAUGGCAGCCAUGUGAGUGAACUUCAUGGAAGGGGCUCCUCCAGCCCCAGUCAAGCCUUCAGAUGACAACAGGCUGGGCUGCUCACCUGACUGCAAUGUCAUGAGAGACCGGGAGCCAGAAUCACCCAGCUUAGCUCCUCCGGAAUCCCUGAGCUACAGAGACCAUGUAGAACCUUUGUUCUUUUAAGUUUGAGUCUGUUUCCUGAGUACCCUUCAGCUGAAGAGGAACUCCUCUUAGAAACUCAGCCUCGACCAUCCUAGUUCAUCUUGAGGCUGUAUGAACGCCCUUGACUUCCAGAAAAGAAAAGCACAGAGGGAGCUUGGGGAAGAUCUUCUGUAUUUGUGGUGGCUCUUAUCCAAGAAGGCCCCUCGCACACUGAACACAGCUGACCUGCAUAAUCCCUGGGAUGUUGUGGAAAUGACAGCAUGACUUCAGACACUAGAUUAAGUAAGACCUUGUGGCUUCUGCCUUGUUUUUUUUGGGGGGGGUCACUCUCCCUGGAAGAAACCAGCCACCGUGUUGUGAGGUGGUACCCUGUGGGGAGGCCCGCAUGCCACCAGCAGCCAACACGUGACUUGCCAGCCAUGAAAGCGAGCAGAUCUUCCAGUCCCGGUCAAGCCUUCAGAUGAUGACAGCACCAAAAACCAUCUUGACUGAACCUUGUUAGUGAGCCCCCGGCUAAGCCACGCUCCCAUUCCUGACCCACAGAAAUUGUGUGAGAUGAUAAAUGUUUACUGUUUUAUGCUGCCAAGACUCUGGGGGAAUUUGUUAUGCAGCCAUGGGUGACUGUUACAGUAUCUGAA
Prionailurus viverrinus (fishing cat) is the source of this 882-nucleotide long non-coding RNA. RefSeq lists it as uncharacterized. The record is from RefSeq and is a predicted model, not a curated record. The transcript has 3 exons. Lineage: Eukaryota; Metazoa; Chordata; Mammalia; Carnivora; Felidae.